UAUAUUUUAGUGUAAAUGCAUUUAAAUUUUUGAAAUUUAAGGUUUAGGUUAGUUCUAAAAAUAUAA
Molecule: transfer RNA, 66 nt
Filed under: Mindarus keteleerifoliae
Lineage: Eukaryota; Metazoa; Arthropoda; Insecta; Hemiptera; Mindaridae
Description: tRNA-Gln
Source: RNAcentral